Molecule: small nuclear RNA, 96 nt
Filed under: Dasypus novemcinctus (nine-banded armadillo)
Lineage: Eukaryota; Metazoa; Chordata; Mammalia; Cingulata; Dasypodidae
Source: RNAcentral
AUGCUUGCUUCGGCAACACAUAUACAAAAUGUGAAAUGAGGUUAGCAUGGCCUCUGCACAAGAAUCACAAAAAUUCGUGAAGCAUUCCAUAUUUUU